GGGGAUAUAGCUCAGUUGGUAGAGUGCUUGCCUCACAUGCAUAAGGCCCUGGGUUUAAUCCCCAGUACCCA
RNAcentral lists this transfer RNA (71 nucleotides) under Ictidomys tridecemlineatus (thirteen-lined ground squirrel). Its description in RNAcentral is "Spermophilus tridecemlineatus (thirteen-lined ground squirrel) tRNA". It matches the Rfam family "tRNA". From Rfam's summary of the family: Transfer RNA (tRNA) molecules are approximately 80 nucleotides in length. The record is from Rfam by way of RNAcentral. Lineage: Eukaryota; Metazoa; Chordata; Mammalia; Rodentia; Sciuridae. RNAcentral also lists the same sequence under 1 other name.